Molecule: ribosomal RNA, 370 nt
Filed under: uncultured Peritrichia
Lineage: Eukaryota; Ciliophora; Oligohymenophorea
Description: SSU rRNA
Rfam family: Eukaryotic small subunit ribosomal RNA
Source: RNAcentral
CCAGCUCCAAAAGCGUAUAUUAAAGUUGUUGCAGUUAAAAAGCUCGUAGUUGAAAUUCUGAUUGUAUUGGGCCUCUGCAGUUCUGCGAAGGAACCAGCAGUCAUCCGCUUGCAAAUACAUGUUCUUCCUUAAUCGGUAGACUGUAUAAGUAAGCAAUUUACCUUGAGAAAAACAGAGUGUUCCAGGCAGGUUUGUCCGGAAUGCAUUAGCAUGGAAUAAUAGAAUAUGACUAGAGUCGAUUUGUUGGUUAAAGGCUUUAGUAAUGAUUAAUAGGAACAAUCGGGGGCAUUGGUACUCGUCAGUCAGAGGUGAAAUUCUAAGAUUUGACGAAGACUAACUGAUGCGAAAGCGUUUGCCAAGAAUGUUUUCA